CUCUGUUCCCUUGCUGCUCUCCUCAGGCAAGUUUACUGGAAUUUUUCAGUUUCUUUUUCCCCGGGCUGUUUUUGUAGGUGAUGCAUCUAUAUUUUCUUAGAUUGGAUGACGACUGCUUCAAAUUUUGUUCUUCUUUGUGGGUUUCGGAGGAAUUGACUCUGUUCGUUGGUUAAUAAGCGCUUGUUGACUUGUAAUUUAGGAAUGACUUGUGGGAAUUAGUUUGUCAAGGAGCUUCUUGUUUAUUAUGUUCUCUUUGAAGCAAUCGUGAGAUUGGCGAUUGUGCCUGCAGCCUGGGAAAGCCCCAAUUUUCAUCAAUAUUUCUUAGCUUUGCUUCUCGACUUCAAUGUUGAAUUCUAUGGAGAUGGAUUAUAACACUACCAAUGUCGAUUUCAAUGUAUCAUCCUUGUAUUGGUUUAUCUUUGUGCACAAUCAUAUCAGAGAACUUUGCAGUAGUUUUUUCAUCUCAUGUGCUGUCCUGUUAUUACCUACCAUGUUGAUCAAAUUUAUGGUAUUGUAGGAUCCUUGAAGCUGCGAUCAAAGUUGAGAAAUUCAAAACUUACUCUCCUGUUCUGUUGACAGAUUUUCAUUCAUAAGAGGUUUCAUGCUGGCUGAAAGAAUCUCAACUGAACCACUUAUGG
RNAcentral lists this long non-coding RNA (638 nucleotides) under Linum usitatissimum (flax). RNAcentral describes it as "long non-coding RNA (LUSI_LNC001987)". Lineage: Eukaryota; Viridiplantae; Streptophyta; Magnoliopsida; Malpighiales; Linaceae. The record is from RNAcentral.